AACACACGGCUCAUUCUUUGAAAU
This 24-nucleotide non-coding RNA is filed under the name Cricetulus griseus (Chinese hamster). The record is from RNAcentral. Lineage: Eukaryota; Metazoa; Chordata; Mammalia; Rodentia; Cricetidae.